GGGUAUACAGCUCAGUGGCAGGGUGCUUGUUUGGCAUGCAUGAGGUCCUGGGUUCAAUCCCUAGUACCUCUG
RNAcentral lists this transfer RNA (72 nucleotides) under Camelus bactrianus (Bactrian camel). It matches the Rfam family "tRNA". From Rfam's summary of the family: Transfer RNA (tRNA) molecules are approximately 80 nucleotides in length. Their secondary structure includes four short double-helical elements and three loops (D, anti-codon, and T loops). Further hydrogen bonds mediate the characteristic L-shaped molecular structure. tRNAs have two regions of fundamental functional importance: the anti-codon, which is responsible for specific mRNA codon recognition, and the 3' end, to which the tRNAs corresponding amino acid is attached (by aminoacyl-tRNA synthetases). tRNAs cope with the degeneracy of the genetic code in two manners: having more than one tRNA (with a specific anti-codon) for a particular amino acid; and 'wobble' base-pairing, i.e. permitting non-standard base-pairing at the 3rd anti-codon position. RNAcentral also lists the same sequence under 2 other names. The record is from Rfam by way of RNAcentral. Lineage: Eukaryota; Metazoa; Chordata; Mammalia; Artiodactyla; Camelidae.